This 409-nucleotide ribosomal RNA is filed under the name bacterium. RNAcentral describes it as "partial 16S ribosomal RNA". It matches the Rfam family "Bacterial small subunit ribosomal RNA", at positions 355 to 776 of the family's 1533-position model. The record is from RNAcentral.
UGGGGAAUAUUGCACAAUGGGGGAAACCCUGAUGCAGCAACGCCGCGUUCGGGAUGACGGCCUUCGGGUUGUAAACCGCUUUCAGCCAUGACGAAGCUUUUGUGACGGUAGUGGCAGAAGAAGCACCGGCUAACUACGUGCCAGCAGCCGCGGUGAUACGUAGGGUGCGAGCGUUGUCCGGAAUUAUUGGGCGUAAAGAGCUUGUAGGCGGUUUGUCGCGUCGAAAGUGUAAACUCAGUGCUUAACGCUGAGCCUGCUUUCGAUACGGGCUGACUAGAGGAAGGUAGGGGAGAAUGGAAUUCCCGGUGGAGCGGUGGAAUGCGCAGAUAUCGGGAGGAACACCAGUGGCGAAGGCGGUUCUCUGGACCUUUCCUGACGCUGAGAAGCGAAAGCGUGGGUAGCAAACAGG